GUUCAGUUCACCGGUGUUACAGUGAAACAAAUUCCAUUAGCAGCAACACAUGCAAGAUUCAAGUAUUUCACAAAUUCAAGAAUCAAAAGGCAUAAAUUUAGAGCAUAAACGCCUAAUUAAAGAACAAAAUUUACGGAAAAUGCCCAAAAAAGAAAAUCGAUAUGCCUUAAAUACAAUAUUAACUAUUACAAACCACCACAUAUAUAACCAAAACAAAUUAACUGAAGGAAGAACUCUCUCCCAUAGCAAGUUCACCUUUUCAUCCGCUAUUUUGCUGUGCUACUUGUAACUUGCUUAUGCGAAAAGGAGAACUACGGUUGACAUCAGAGCCAUAACAAUCACACCAUAUAAAGAAUAGGCCCACUAACAAGGAGAGGGAAAACAUGGCCGAGAUGAGAGGGGAGCGAAUGGAAAGGAAUUUGAGUGCAAUCGAAGGAAAAUAUAGCAGAGUGGAAGAGUCAAAGAAAUCUAGAGGUAAGAAAUCAAAAAGGAAUAGAGGUGGAGGUGCUUGAUGGCUUGUUGAAGAAAAAAAAUCGAAUGGAAAUAAGAGGGGAAGAGAUCCAUAGUCAACAAGGAGGAGAAGCGAUGAGUCUCACAUAGAGGGAAAAGGGCCAAGAAG
RNAcentral lists this unclassified non-coding RNA (619 nucleotides) under Hevea brasiliensis (rubber tree). Lineage: Eukaryota; Viridiplantae; Streptophyta; Magnoliopsida; Malpighiales; Euphorbiaceae. The record is from RNAcentral.